GAAAUGCGAUAAGUAAUGUGAAUUGCAGAAUUCAGUGAAUCAUCGAAUCUUUGAACGCACCUUGCGCUCCUUGGUAUUCCUUGGAGCAUGCCUGUUUGAGUAUCAUGAAAUCUUCAAAGUAAAUCUUUUGUUAACUCAAUUGGUUUCUACUUUGGUAUUGGAGGUCUUUGCAGCUUCACACCUGCUCCUCUUUGUUCAUUAGCUGGAUCUCAGUGUUAUGCUUGGUUCCACUCGGCGUGAUAAGUUAUCUAUCGCUGAGGACACUGUAAAAGGUGGCCAAGGUAAAUUCAGAUGAACCGCUUCUAAUAGUCCAUUGACUUGGACAAUACUUUUAUGAUCUGAUCUCAAAUCAGUUAGGACUACCCGCUGAACUUAAGC
RNAcentral lists this unclassified non-coding RNA (378 nucleotides) under plant metagenome. RNAcentral's name for it is "partial contains 5.8S ribosomal RNA, internal transcribed spacer 2, and large subunit ribosomal RNA". The stretch from base 1 to 105 matches the Rfam family "5.8S ribosomal RNA", at positions 50 to 154 of the family's 154-position model. The record is from RNAcentral.